UGGGUAUGUACCAGGCAAACUGUGUCCUCC
RNAcentral lists this non-coding RNA (30 nucleotides) under Rattus norvegicus (Norway rat). The record is from RNAcentral. Lineage: Eukaryota; Metazoa; Chordata; Mammalia; Rodentia; Muridae.